Molecule: long non-coding RNA, 391 nt
Organism: Symphalangus syndactylus (siamang)
Lineage: Eukaryota; Metazoa; Chordata; Mammalia; Primates; Hylobatidae
Source: RefSeq, a predicted model, not a curated record
UCCAGGCCUUUUUCUGGAUCCAGGAGCGAAUCAACUAAGAAACAGCCUAGCACCCUUUUAAGUCCGGAAUCAGGCCACCCUGACCUCAUGGUCCCAUGGACGCUGCCAGGAAGCCUGAAAACUCCAUCCAAAGCUGCUGAGACAGAAUCUUUGGCAGAGCUGAAAGGAAGCUGAAAGGAGCGGUGCCGGGAGUUCCUGCCCAAAAAAGGCCUGAACCAUGGAAGAGAUUACUGGAGCACCAGACGUCUUGGACCGUGAGUAUAAGGACCACAAGCUAGAGACUGUAGAGCUGACAGCCCGAAGGAGAUUGAGUCUUUAAUGAAUUUGGGGUACCUUGCCACACUCACGCCAAAAUGCUUACUUACAAAAUCCCUUUGCAAGAGAAAGCAAC